GACGAACGCUGGCGGCGUGCUUAACACAUGCAAGUCGAACGGAAAGGCCCUGCUUUUGUGGGGUGCUCGAGUGGCGAACGGGUGAGUAACACGUGAGUAACCUGCCCUUGACUUUGGGAUAACUUCAGGAAACUGGGGCUAAUACCGGAUAGGAGCUCCUGCUGCAUGGUGUGGGUUGGAAAGUUUCGGCGGUUGGGGAUGGACUCGCGGCUUAUCAGCUUGUUGGUGGGGUAGUGGCUUACCAAGGCUUUGACGGGUAGCCGGCCUGAGAGGGCGACCGGCCACAUUGGGACUGAGAUACGGCCCAGACUCCUACGGGAGGCAGCAGUGGGGAAUAUUGCACAAUGGGCGGAAGCCUGAUGCAGCAACGCCGCGUGCGGGAUGACGGCCUUCGGGUUGUAAACCGCUUUCGCCUGUGACGAAGCGUGAGUGACGGUAAUGGGUAAAGAAGCACCGGCUAACUACGUG
RNAcentral lists this ribosomal RNA (468 nucleotides) under uncultured bacterium. Its description in RNAcentral is "partial 16S ribosomal RNA". It matches the Rfam family "Bacterial small subunit ribosomal RNA", at positions 28 to 507 of the family's 1533-position model. The record is from RNAcentral.